This 89-nucleotide transfer RNA is filed under the name Deltaproteobacteria bacterium. RNAcentral's name for it is "tRNA-Ser". It matches the Rfam family "tRNA". From Rfam's summary of the family: Transfer RNA (tRNA) molecules are approximately 80 nucleotides in length. The record is from RNAcentral. Lineage: Bacteria; Pseudomonadati; Myxococcota; Myxococcia.
GGAGAGGUGACUGAGAGGCCGAAAGUGGCAGAUUGCUAAUCUGUUGUACUGGGAAACCGGUACCCAGGGUUCGAAUCCCUGCCUCUCCG